This 360-nucleotide ribosomal RNA is filed under the name uncultured bacterium. RNAcentral's name for it is "partial 16S ribosomal RNA". It matches the Rfam family "Bacterial small subunit ribosomal RNA", at positions 338 to 696 of the family's 1533-position model. The record is from RNAcentral.
CCUACGGGAGGCAGCAGUGAGGAAUAUUGGUCAAUGGCCGAGAGGCUGAACCAGCCAAGUCGCGUGAGGGAAGACGGCCCUACGGGUUGUAAACCUCUUUUGUCGGGGAGCAAAGCGAACCACGUGUGGUUCAUUGAGAGUACCCGAAGAAAAAGCAUCGGCUAACUCCGUGCCAGCAGCCGCGGUAAUACGGAGGAUGCGAGCGUUAUCCGGAUUUAUUGGGUUUAAAGGGUGCGCAGGCGGAGGUGCAAGUCAGCGGUCAAAUUGCGGGGCUAAACCCCGUACUGCCGUUGAAACUGCAUGCCUUGAGUGCGCGAGAGGUAUGCGGAAUGCGUGGUGUAGCGGUGAAAUGCAUAGAUA